Molecule: unclassified non-coding RNA, 261 nt
Filed under: soil metagenome
Description: partial contains small subunit ribosomal RNA, internal transcribed spacer 1, and 5.8S ribosomal RNA
Source: RNAcentral
UUUCCGUAGGUGAACCUGCGGAAGGAUCAUUACCGAGUUAGGGCCUGCCUCUUCGGCGCCCGACCUCCCAACCCUGUGUCUACUAUACCUAAUUGUUGCUUCGGUGGGCCGGUCUGAAAGAACACCGCUGGGCCUCUGUGCCUGGAGAGCGCCCGCCGAUGGCCCAAUCUCAAACUCUUAGCACUAAACCAUGUCGUCUAAAGCAAAAACUAUUUGAUUUAAUCAAAAUUAAAACUUUCAACAACGGAUCUCUUGGUUCUG